Molecule: ribosomal RNA, 254 nt
Filed under: uncultured bacterium
Lineage: Bacteria
Description: partial 16S ribosomal RNA
Rfam family: Bacterial small subunit ribosomal RNA
Source: RNAcentral
UACGUAGGGUGCGAGCGUUGUCCGGAAUUAUUGGGCGUAAAGAGCUCGUAGGCGGUGUGUCACGUCGGCCGUGAAAACCUGCAGCUUAACUGUGGGCGUGCGGUCGAUACGGGCAUCACUGGAGUUCGGCAGGGGAGACUGGAAUUCCUGGUGUAGCGGUGAAAUGCGCAGAUAUCAGGAGGAACACCGGUGGCGAAGGCGGGUCUCUGGGCAAUAACUGACGCUGAGGAGCGAAAGCGUGGGGAGCGAACAGG